Molecule: ribosomal RNA, 468 nt
Filed under: uncultured bacterium
Lineage: Bacteria
Description: partial 16S ribosomal RNA
Rfam family: Bacterial small subunit ribosomal RNA
Source: RNAcentral
GACGAACGCUGGCGGCGUGCUUAACACAUGCAAGUCGAACGGAAAGGCCCUGCUUUUGUGGGGUGCUCGAGUGGCGAACGGGUGAGUAACACGUGAGUAACCUGCCCUUGACUUUGGGAUAACUUCAGGAAACUGGGGCUAAUACCGGAUAGGAGCUCCUGCUGCAUGGUGGGGGUUGGAAAGUUUCGGCGGUUGGGGAUGGACUCGCGGCUUAUCAGCUUGUUGGUGGGGUAGUGGCUUACCAAGGCUUUGACGGGUAGCCGGCCGGAGAGGGUGACCGGCCACAUUGGGACUGAGAUACGGCCCAGACUCCUACGGGAGGCAGCAGUGGGGAAUAUUGCACAAUGGGCGGAAGCCUGAUGCAGCAACGCCGCGUGCGGGAUGACGGCCUUCGGGUUGUAACCCGCUUUCGCCUGUGACGAAGCGUGAGUGACGGUAAUGGGUAAAGAAGCACCGGCUAACUACGUG